ACUACAUCGCCGAACGGCACAACGCAGCAAGCAUGGGGCAUCUCGACCAGUGGCGUUCUCGCCAGAAGAUCGGCAUGGGCAAGGGCGCCCGCUGCUGCGUCAUUUGCUCCAACCAGAAGGCGCUGAUCCGCAAGUACGAGCUGAACGUGUGCCGUCAGUGCUUCCGUGAAAACGCCGAGCACAUCGGCUUCACCAAGCUGCGCUGAGGAACUAGCCAUGCCAAGGGAGCGCAUGAAAACGAGAGAGGAGGCAAAGACCCCAGAGAGAGAGCAGAUCAAGCGAUACGGGAGGCGUAAGUGAGUGAGCCAUGGAACGUAGAAGAUCGGAACCCUUUCCCCCUCCCCCGCCGCCGUCCGCCUUCCUGUGACUUUCUCUUCCUCGGCUAUUUGUCGAGCUUCGCGCCCCCUUCUCCCCGAACUUCACUCUUCCCUGCUCCUUCUCCCUUGUGUUUUGUGCACGUGUGUCUUGAGCGUGUGUAGUUCAUUGCCCCCCUUUUUUAGUCGUUUUCUCUUUUCGUUCGCACAUCUCGAUAUCAUGGCCGUGCUUCGCUCUUUCCUCCUCGCCUCCCCCGACGCAAGCAUGCACACGCCCACACACACAGACAGACAUGUGCGUGUGUGUCGUUCUCUCUCUCUCCGCGUGUCACUUAUCUGUUGAGGCCCUCACCCCCCUCCUCCUCCCCUCACGCAUCCUUUGUUGCCCGACACUUUCGGCAUUGUGGCUCGAGCCAUUCGCCGACGGGAUGGAGAGCGCACGCUAUCCGUGCGAGAGAGGUCGGACCGGCUCAGUGGUGGGGACAUGCAUUCGGCAUGGUAGACGACUCGGGGGAGGAGGAGGAUGGGGGCGGCACGUGACGUGGAAGUGGAGGGACGGCAGCGUCUUUUCGAAAUCCGAGAG
RNAcentral lists this unclassified non-coding RNA (897 nucleotides) under Leishmania donovani. Its description in RNAcentral is "gene:LdHU3.28.3580(CDS-product:ribosomal_protein_ S29_putative)". Lineage: Eukaryota; Euglenozoa; Kinetoplastea; Trypanosomatida; Trypanosomatidae. The record is from RNAcentral.